GACGAACGCUGGCGGCGUGCCUAAUACAUGCAAGUUGAGCGCUGAAGGUUGGUACUUGUACCAACUGGAUGAGCAGCGAACGGGUGAGUAACGCGUGGGGAAUCUGCCUUUGAGCGGGGGACAACAUUUGGAAACGAAUGCUAAUACCGCAUAAAAACUUUAAACACAAGCUUUAAGUUUGAAAGAUGCAAUUGCAUCACUCAAAGAUGAUCCCGCGUUGUAUUAGCUAGUUGGUGAGGUAAAGGCUCACCAAGGCGAUGAUACAUAGCCGACCUGAGAGGGUGAUCGGCCACAUUGGGACUGAGACACGGCCCAAACUCCUACGGGAGGCAGCAGUAGGGAAUCUUCGGCAAUGGACGAAAGUCUGACCGAGCAACGCCGCGUGAGUGAAGAAGGUUGUCGGAUCGUAAAACUCUGUUGGUAGAGAAGAACGUUGGUGAGAGUGGAAAGCUCAUCAAGUGACGGUAACUACCCAGAAAGGGACGGCUAACUACGUG
RNAcentral lists this ribosomal RNA (497 nucleotides) under uncultured bacterium. Its description in RNAcentral is "partial 16S ribosomal RNA". It matches the Rfam family "Bacterial small subunit ribosomal RNA", at positions 28 to 507 of the family's 1533-position model. The record is from RNAcentral.